RNAcentral lists this ribosomal RNA (420 nucleotides) under Fusobacteriota bacterium. RNAcentral describes it as "Fusobacteria bacterium partial 16S ribosomal RNA". It matches the Rfam family "Bacterial small subunit ribosomal RNA", at positions 355 to 776 of the family's 1533-position model. Lineage: Bacteria; Fusobacteriati; Fusobacteriota. The record is from RNAcentral.
UGGGGGAUAUUGCACAAUGGGCGAAAGCCUGAUGCAGCGACGCCGCGUGGGGGAUGAAGGCCUUCGGGUUGUAAACUUCUUUUGCUCUGAACAAGGCAUGCCUUUGGGGUGUGUUGAGUGUGGGGGUUGAUUAGCGCCGGCUAACUACGUGCCAGCAGCCGCGGUAAUACGUAGGGCGCGAGCGUUGUCCGGAAUUAUUGGGCGUAAAGGGCUUGUAGGUGGCUGGUUGCGUCUGUCGUGAAAGCUCAUGGCUUAACUGUGGGUUUGCGGUGGGUACGGGCUGGCUUGAGUGCAGUAGGGGAGGCUGGAAUUCCUGGUGUAGCGGUGGAAUGCGCAGAUAUCAGGAGGAAUACCGGUGGCGAAGGCGGGUCUCUGGGCUGUUACUGACGCUGAGGAGCGAAAGCGUGGGGAGCGAACAGG